This is a long non-coding RNA of Castor canadensis (American beaver), 2148 nucleotides long. NCBI's taxonomy places the organism in Eukaryota, Metazoa, Chordata, Mammalia, Rodentia, Castoridae. The record is from Ensembl.
CACUGUGCUACAUCUGCUGAGCUGGGCUUUCCUAAAGGAAAAAGGACCAACUAUCUUAUAGGCACUAGGCACUGUUGCUUCAGAUUGGAUCAUGGUCUCUUAACUAAGGAUGUUCAGUGUAUGAAGGGACUGUCAAGGGUCAGGAUUCAGGUGUGUAUCCCCUGCUCCACAGAAACAUUGACUCCUUCCCCCCAAGAAGAAGAUGAUUAUAGUGGAAGUUUAGAGGAUAGCAAGAGUAAUCACUAGCUCAAUAAUGAAACAUUGGAACAACUCUGGGGAGAAUAUCUGGGAAAACAGAAACAACUGACAAGGAAGUGGCCUGAUAUGAAGUCAUGGGAUCUGACCAAUGCAAAACUGAUAGUGAAGCAGGAGGCAAUGUUGACACAGAGUCUGAUAAAUGGACUUCUCAUGUUGAUUUAAUAACUGCAUGAGGGGUGUAGGAGAGGGAAUCCCUGGGCAUGGUAACACUAGCACUGGUAACACUGAGCUGCUUCUCUUUGCCAGCUAUGAAGAUCAUUUUUUAGCAUUAAUUAGCAAGAUAAUCUUUUUUUUUCUUUUUACGUCCAAAGGGCCUUCCCAGUUUCAGCUGCAUCAUUGGCUCCUCAUAAACUCUUAACUCUGAGCAAUGAAGGCUUUUGGCCAAUACACUGACUGCUCUCUGGUGGGGAUGCUUCAGCUAAAUAGAGUAGAAAGACCUGCUGAUUUCAAGGCCAAGUGUAGAAAGCAGCUGGCUUUCAACUUGCUGUCCAAGAGAGCCAAGCAGAGCAGAGCUGAUGACUGCCCUGGCUGGUGGGAGUCUGAGCCAGACACCUGUCAAACACUACCUUGCCCAGCUUCCCUGCACCCUGCUCUGCAGCAUGCCUGCUCUGAGAAUGGCAGUCCACACCACAAACUUUCUCCCUCCACAGAAAGCCAGAUGCCAGAAUUCCCCCAAAUUCCUUCUCCAGCAAAUAUUUUGAUCCCUAAGCAAAUUUCUCUCUCUUUCUUUCAGGCAGAAGAAAAAAAAUGCCAGAAAGGGAAAAUGAUGACAUCUCCAUUUUCUUCUAAAUAAGUAUAAAUGACCAUCAAUUGAAAAAGAGAGACUCUUUCUCAGCUUCCAGCCCCACAAAGAGGUUUCCAACUUACUGAAGUCUUCAGCAACUUAUUGAUUUGGAACUUCAGUGUCCUUAGCUAUUCAAGGACUGUAAAGAUAAGUAUUAAGAUACUACUUCAGCAUUUGAGUGGGAUUAGUCAACUGGGGUGGUAAUCACAAACUGGCACUUUCAGGAAACACAUGGCUUAAUUCAGAAAUGCAUGCUUUUGUCUAAAGCAAAGACAUCCUGAACAUGUCUUGAUAUCAAAUAUCUGUAGUUAUUUUCAUAAGUACCUAGAAUUCAAAAGAAACUCAAGUCCACUAUGCCCAGGAUGGUAGGGAAGAGGGAGGAGGAAUCAAUAUACCUGGAAAACUGAAUUCACAUAGUUUAGAUUCCUUUCCUUAUAAAAUGGUUUGUGUGAGCUACACUCACAGAUCUGAUGACCACAGACACUCAACAGGCCUUUUGGAUUUUAUAGGCUCCCUUAAUAUUUACCCCAUCAGAAGCUGGAUGUUGACAAGAUUAACUCUUAACACCAUACAGCUCAACUUUAAGUAAAAUGUUCAGUUUCACAGGGUUAGGAAUGAAUUUUGGCUAUGGAUGUUUUCGCACGUGUCUGGCUCAUAUAGAAGCCAAACAAGCAGCACUCUCAACUGAAUUGGGUAUCUUGGUGUUUAAGUUUUGUAUGGGGUCCAUGUCUAACUGACCAUGUAAAUAAGGGCAAGUUGUGGGCCUGUUAGCCCCCUGGAAAUGGACUGGAUUUGGCCAGUUCAAUACUAAGCUUCUUCCCAUAGAAAAUCCUAAAUUAUUCUUAUUCAAGUAGAAAGAUUAUUAUUUAGCCAUUUAAAAUUAACCACUAUAUUGUAUACCUCUUAUGUAAAAGGGAGCAAGAAAAUGAAUAGCAGAGUGUUGGGUGUUGGGAUGACUGGUUGUCCACUAGGGUGCCUCACAUAGUGCAAGUCUAUUAUUACACGAUUUCUGCUUCCUGUGCAUCCUUCCACUCUUUUUGCAGAUUUUAAACUAAAAUCAAGAAUGAAGGAGCUCAAUUUUUCAAUAAACAUGGUUUGGAGUAACA